This 412-nucleotide long non-coding RNA is filed under the name Vigna radiata. Its description in RNAcentral is "long non-coding RNA (VRAD_LNC006892)". Lineage: Eukaryota; Viridiplantae; Streptophyta; Magnoliopsida; Fabales; Fabaceae. The record is from RNAcentral.
GGUGGAUCCCGCGUCUGGUGUUCACGUUUUUGGUUUUGCUUCGCAGGUUUUGAGAUGCGAGGAUGGAGGCGAAAGAGACGAACUCACGGUGCUCCAGUGGUAGCGGCGACCGGUGACGCGACGAUAUAGUUGACGAACGACCGAGAUUUUGGGGGUUUUCUCCGCGCCAGAUCCGGCCCGCAAAGAGGCACGAUUUCCGCUAGAGACGAUGGCGAUGAAAAUGGUGAGGCGAUCUCUGCUGAAGGGGUUGAACGCGAUGGAAUAGCCAUUUGGAGGGAGUUUCAAUGAGCUUGGUAUUCUUCUUGCAGCCUGGACGGUACCAUCGCUAAUGUCGAUGUUGCGGGAGAGUAGGCGGUAGGUAGGGCGAGUGACACUGUAAAGUUACAUCUUUGUCGCUGAGAAAGCACUGUUG